Molecule: transfer RNA, 78 nt
Filed under: Campylobacter hominis ATCC BAA-381
Lineage: Bacteria; Pseudomonadati; Campylobacterota; Epsilonproteobacteria; Campylobacterales; Campylobacteraceae
Description: tRNA-Lys
Rfam family: tRNA
About the family: Transfer RNA (tRNA) molecules are approximately 80 nucleotides in length. Their secondary structure includes four short double-helical elements and three loops (D, anti-codon, and T loops).
Source: RNAcentral
UGCCCCAUUAGCUCAGUUGGUAGAGCAUCUGACUCUUAAUCAGGUGGCCGCAGGUUCGAACCCUACAUGGGGCAUAAU